RNAcentral lists this long non-coding RNA (9002 nucleotides) under Coffea arabica (coffee). RNAcentral's name for it is "long non-coding RNA (CARA_LNC000369)". The record is from RNAcentral. Lineage: Eukaryota; Viridiplantae; Streptophyta; Magnoliopsida; Gentianales; Rubiaceae.
AGGACAAGACAAGGUCAUCAUCUAAGGAUUCAACCAACCUAAGAAAAGGGAAACAACCGCCAACUUCUGUAGACCUUGCUUGUGUAAGCAUCAAACCGGAACAACAAGGUGGAAAGAAAUAUACCAAAAUUGAAAAGCAAUAGACUAAUUAAUGCAUACAUAUACACAAAUAAGAAAACAGUAGUGCAUAUAUUAGAGGAUUAAAGUAUCAGAUUUUACAACAGAUUAAAAUUAACCAGGUUGAGUUUUUUUUUUUUUUUUUUUUCCAAUAUUAAACUUGCUCACGUGGUGCAGUACAACAGACAGAAAGGGUUAACACUAACAGUUAAAAGGAUCACGAUCAACGUUUUCAUCUUUCCUACUGAUUAGUGCAGGUACGGAGCCACCUGGUACUGGUAUCCAGCUCCGAAGAAGUUGCCAUGACUAUGGGGGAGGCUGUAAGCAGCAGUACCCAGAACUGGGGCGACGUGGUUGUCAGUUGGUCCAGAGUAACAGUAUGGUCUGUCAUAGAUGUACUGUGGGUACCUAUCAGUCAUCCUAGCAUAGGAGUUCUUGUCGGCGGCAACAUUAGCAACUCGUGGCCCAUAUCCAGCACCAUUAGCACGAGGCCUUUUGGAUUGAGGUUUUGCAACUUCUGUGGCUCUUUUCUUAUCUGCCUUUGCCUUCUCCAGCUGCACGACCCUUUUUUGGAGACCAUCCAGACGGUAAAGGUCCUCAAGCUUGUGCUCCUCGACGCACUUAAUCACAGCCUUAAGUGCAGAAAGCUCCUUUUCAUUGACAUCGCACUGAAACAAUUGACAAUGCAUUAUCCAAGUGAAUACUUCCACUCCCUCAUCAGAAAAAGGAUCUUUGUGGAAGUUUCAGCCUUAACGCACGAUAGGUUAAGAUAGUGUCAUGAAAAAAAUACUAGCAACUUCAAACUAGACCAUAUGAAAGUACAAAAUAAAUGACGCUAAUUCUUAUACAAAGCUAUGAUCAACAAGUUUUAGAUGAUAUAUGCACCACAAGAAAGUUCAUUGAUUUGAAUAUCACCAUCCUGGGAAAGACCCAAACAUGAAUAUAUGUCAAGAGUAAAUGCUUUUGCAAGCCACAGAAAAACACGUCAGAAGCAAUAGUCCUUCUUGUAGAUGUUGAGGAUUAGGGAUAUAAACAAACCUGUGCAGAAGGUGAUGUGUUUCCCAGUUUACUAGGUGAAGACAAUUUUGCUGCGUCGCUCAGGUAAGAUUUCAGUAAUAUAACAGGUGAAAACUGCUCUGUCAGGUCAAAUGCAAAAGCCAGAUUAACAGCAUCAAUUUGUCUCCCAUUUUUCACCAAAACAUCAAUGACACCUGAAAGAAAACAGAAUAAACUGAACUACAAACUCAUAUUCAUUUGGAAGCAAAUCAAAUUGCUAACCAUAACUCAGAAAAAUCUUAUAACUAUCAAAUAGCGUUCACAAGAAGCCAACCUGGCAUUUUGUCAGACAAUCCAAGGGAACGACACAGAUCAGCUGUCUGGCGACGACGAGAAACCAUAGGUAUUAGCUUGGAUAAGCUCUCCUGGUCAAAAUCAGAAUUGAUACCAAAAGUAGCUAGAAGUUGUAAGAAUGCAUGAGCCUCUAAGGAGUUCCCACUGCUGGCAUCAACAUCAAGAUCAUCUAACUUCGGCUUCCACUCUAUUGGUAGUUUUUAGAGUCUAAUUGUUAUAUGUUGGCAUAAGGAUUUCAGGCUGGUCUUGCAUUACCGGAAUACUUAGAUGGAAGCCUGCAUGAUAUGCAGCUUUUUGGUCUAGAAAUUGAAUGUUGCUUCUGAAUUUGGAAAACUGCAUUUAAGUAUCUAUACAAGGAAGAGAGGUGGCAAUUGGGUUAAACAUUUUGUGUCAUUUUUUGAACUUCCAGUUUUGCCCUUAAAAAUAUUAAUUUUUACCAUAACCACCCAAUCACAUGCUAAUAUAAUCUCCCAUAGCUCCCUUAAAUAUUGUAACUACCAAAUUAACUAUAACUGCACUAAAGAAAAAAAUGCUAAUAAAAAUUGCAAUAUUUUUAUGAAGAAUUUAUAUAAAAUUUAAUUUUGUAAAAACAAGAUUAAUAUAUUCAUAAAAAUUAAUAAUUAUUUCUAAACUGCACACACAUUGGGUGUGCCCUUAAAAGUAGUUUAACAUUAUUCUAUAGCUAGUUUACAUGUUGAGUUUCCUGCAGGAGAUACAAGAAACUCUGCUCCCUCCAUCUGUGCACAUCUACCCCAAGAAGAAGGCCAAAGUUUCACAGCAACCUAGUGGUAAUGGUGGAGUAAACAGCCAAACUGAAGGUAGCUCAUCAUCUGUUACCGGUCUGCUUGCCAACGAACCUGAAAAGAUCAGCGAUGAGUCUGUAAUCAGUUCUUCUGAACUGACCUCUGGGACAAAAUGUGGCCCUAGAUCAUCAUCACCAUACCCAAAUGUAUACUCUCUCUCUCUCUCUCUCUCUCUGUAUGUGCACGCGAAAAUGUGUCCAACCUCUACUUUUGUUAUUUGGUUAUCUGUGAUGCCGUUGCUGGUAUGCAAAUCCAGGUAUGGUGCAUAUACUUGUUCAGUUUGUGCCAUUCUAUUUUCUGGGGUUUGUUUCUUGUGCUGGCCAGGAAAGGGUUGCGGCUUGAGGAACUGGUAUUAAUUGUCAAGAAAAAUAGAAUUUUGAGCUAAAAUCUGUUCAGAUCCUUGUACCUGGGAAUGAAUUACUCUGUCUCCUGGUUUGUUUAUGGGUGAGAAAAGGAGGUUUUUAAACAUUUCAAAUGUUUUUCCUUUGUAAUUGUUAAUUUCUUUGAUGGUGUAUGGGUCAGACAGCUCCAACGCUUCGAAAAUCCUGUGAUGGAAGGAUUAGGAAUGUUAUCCUCUUUUGCAGCUCCUUCUUAAUCCUUUCAACCAAACAGUGAGUUGAAGUCAUCCUUCUUUAAUCCUUUUCAUCCCCGCCCUUCCUUCUUUGUCUGUAUCAGACAGGCUCUUUUGGUUUCCUUUUUUCAUUAGUCUUUAUGCUUCUUUUUGUUCCUUUAGCCAUCCCACUCUGCCCAUAUGUUUCCUUCUUUCUGUGGAAUGGCAAGUAACAUUUUGGUCAAGGCAUCUUAUACAGAAUUCAAGAUUGAUCCAAAAGCUAGGUUCUUUGAGCUUGUUUGUCUUUUCUGGUUAACUUUUGGAUUCCAUUUGAUGAUGGCUCUGCCAUGCAAUUAGCUUUGAUUUGUUAGGUUAAGAGUUUAACUUGAGUUGUUUUGAUACAGCAGAUUAGUCAUUUCUAUUUUAUACAUGCAUGCUUUUGUUGGCGUUAGUCAUUUUUCUCUCACGUAAGUGACUAACAGUUUACAUGCAUGCAGUAUCCAGAUUUGAAACCACCAUCAUCCCCAACACCAUCAAAGCCAGAAAUAUGAUGCAAAGCUCACUGACUUAAAUGCUGAAACUUCGUCAUUGCUUGGGUAGUUUUUUCUGAGCGGUUGCUUCAACUUGUGGCAUUCCAUAAAUUUCUGAAGAGAGUGCAGAGUUUGGUUUGAUCCAUAGAGGGAAGCCUACUUCUGGAUUUUUUCAAUUUAUUACUAUCACAGAGUAGCGACCAAUUGUUUUCUCAAGAUAAGAGAAUGAUCGAAGGCAGUUAUGGAAAAGGAAUCCUAAUUGCCAAGCUAGACACUUCGAUGAUCAUGUAGUGCUGUUUGGAAGUAUGUGUGCAACAUGGAAUUUAUGAACACAAGUACCAUAGGAAUUUUUUUUUUUUGUAUUACUGAUGUUGUUAUCUUUUGAGUGUUGCUUGUCUUCAUAAUAUUAAACAAUUAAUAUAAACAGCUUGGUAUGAUACGCUGUCCCAGUCUUGAUCUUGGUCAUAUGCAACCACUGUGUUACAGAAUAGAAAAUAUGUUUAAUUCGAAUUUCUAUGAUCAAUAGUAUAUUAUACGGGCGUUUGCAUUUUUCCUGAUAAUUAUCUUUUCUUCUUGUCAUAGAAAAGGAAAAAAUUCUACCUAAUUUUAUAACAUUAUUAUAGAGAUUAUAUGGUAUAAUGACAACGAUCUGUCGAAGUUAAAUCAAAUCAAACUGUUGCCAACAGAUACACUAGAAUGUGGUAAUGGAAGUUGAGUGAUAUAUCCAGUUGUUCACUAACCAAUUAAGGCUUUGCUGGGGAAAUAUAGCAGCUACAAAUGGAAAUACUAGCAAACAACCCUGUCUUCCCGUAAUAGAGAAACAAGAACCUUGAAGACAUUGCAGGUACAUUUCUGAACAAUAUGCAAGGGAGAUAAACAAAAAUUUGAAUUAUAUACAAGCUAUUCUAUGCUGGAAGUAAAAAGACUAAAUUGGUUACUAUUAAUCAACUGUCCACAAAGAAAAUCUAACGUCACGACACCAUUAUUGGCCUGUUUUCACCAUUUCCGAGUUCAAGGAAUUUCUUCUCAUAGCCAGAAACAAAAUCUUCCAUGCAGGACUAUAAGUUUGCAUACCUGGAACCUUCUUCGCCAAUUCCAACCCAAUAUUCAUCCACUUCUGUGCCACUUCAGUCUGUCCCAACCUCAGAGGAAGUGCUGCUCGGUUCCAUGCUGUCAUGGAAAGCCAUUUUGCCUCUUCAGUGGGAUACUCCCCUUCCUUCAAACCCACCAUUAUUCGGUAUGCUUGUUUGUAUAUGCUAAUUACUGCAUCAUCUGUAUCACCCUUAAAAAUAGUGCUUACAGAAAUUAAUUUCCUCAGAAUUAAAGCCACAUAUUGGUAAUCAGGAGAAGGGGAAGCAAGGAGAGCAGAAAGGCAAGAAUUCAGGGCAAAACCAGCUACUUCAGGGUUGGAUCGUGGUCCCUGUGAGGCAUCAAGACCGAUCUGAAGAAGAUGCAAAGGAUUGCAAGAUUUAGAACUAGCAAAGCUUUUUAUCAAAAGCAUCUGCUUUUGUCCCAUGUCACUUAGCCUUGAAUAUAGAUCGUAGGCACUCCAAGUGUGCAAAAAUGAAGUCAGACUCUGUGCUGGUUUCUUUAUGUUCAUCUUGCAAAGAGAUUGCCGAGCUUGAUAAUAAAAUCUGCAAUUAACAAAUAAACACUUUGUUACAAUCAAACAUUUGGUACCGGUGAAUACAACUUUCACAACCAUGCUCCUCCAGAGCGAACUUUAACUUAAUUUGACAGCAAACUUCUGAUCUCUGAUCAGAAGUUAAAGUUUUACUGGUAAAUUUGAAGCCAUGAAUGAUGAUUGAUUAUGUGUUUGGUUACCUUUCCAGCUCUAUCUGACAGUUCAAUGGCUGCUUUAACUUCAGUUUCUAGCAGCGUGCUAUUUGUCUGCUUUUCAUCAGCAAUAAUUGCAGAACACACAAUAUCAAUGAUUUACAGACCAUUAAGUUGUAAUCCUCUAUGUCUGCAUCAAAUUUGAUGCUAUAGAACUCUGAUGCCAAUCUGAAAAACUGUGCUGAUAUUCCGUAACUUUUUUCUUUCCCUAUUUGCACCCCAAAAUUCCACGCAUUCACUGCAAACCAAUUCUUUUCCCGUUUUCCAACCUCACCUAUUCCAAAAAAGCAGUCAGCUCCAAUCUCAGAUACCCUAUCAAGAGCGCGUUUAAUGUAUUGUAGAAUAUCAGAUGCAUGGCCAGUCUCUUUGUAAGAAUUGUUACUAAGGUCCGAAAAACUACAACUUCCAUGGCUGGCAUUGGCUUUCCUAAGGAGUAGAAGUUUAGGAGAUGGGACAAAGAAGCAACUGCAACAGGAAGAGAUUGGCAGGCAACAGCUUCAUGUGCCGAAAGUGAGAGGAAAUCAGGACUGAAGUCAAGACAGCUUGUCAUCGCUUGCACCUGAGCUAUUGCAUUACAGUGAUCCUUCCUUUGCAGGUAAAUUUUAAACUGCAAAAUGAGAAGCAUAUGAAUGCUGUAAGAAAAUAUUAACAUCACAAGAAGAUUAACCUAAUCUUCUGCUCUUUUAGGGAAGAGAUCUCACACCUUAAGGAAGGCACUAGCUAUAUCAGGUUGAAGCUGCAAAAUUAGAUAGACGUUAGGAUAUUGAGCUACACAACACAGAGAUUUUCUGAAUUUGGUGAAUCAUAUCCAAAUAUGUAUAGACCUUUUCUGCUUCAGUAAUGUACUCUUCAGCUUGAUCUAGUUGUGAAAGGCCUAAGUGACAGAGACAGAGAACUCUAAAGCCCUUUGCUCUGAGCAUUCUGUUCCCUAAGUCAUAAGGGACAUAGAGCAUAGACUUUUCAAACAGCUCAGCACUGAUCUGAAAAUCUUUGGAUCGAAAAUGUUCUGCAGCACUGCAAAGCAAUUUCAGGAAAGAGAAAGAAAAAAAAGGUUAAAAAAUCUAAUUGAUAGAGUGAAAUCCACAAGUUGUCACCAUCUCAAAAUUGUUCAGUUGUUCAAUGAAGCUGUGCCUCCUGUCAUCAAGUGCCAAGGGUGCAAGUGCAACAACAAAAACUCAUACCAUCUUUGGGCAGUGCCAUGUAAUAUGAGUGUUCUUCAGAAUUGGAGUAUUGAUGAAUGAAUGAAGCUUAUGAUAAGCAACAAAAACAGGAAGCUGGCUGUAGGGAGGGAGGAUCAAUUUGUCUUUAAAACCUCACCAAUUCAGUAUGCACACAGUGGCCUCGAUUAAAAAAAAAAAAAAACUGGAUAAAAUUCACAGGGCAGGACUUGCAUGUUCCUUCAAUAGGAGAGCAGUUAUAUCAAAAUGCUAUUUCAAUCAUAUAGUAGUAUCAAACUUUAGACAUCUACUUAACUUGCAUACUUUACAAUGUGGAAACAUAAAGCUGGAAAAAUGUAUGGAUUUUUACCAGUUCCAAAGAAGAGCAUGUAUCGCAGUCCUCUCUUUAGAUGCCUCUUCUCCAGCGAAAAGUGCCACAACCCUCUCAUCAGACACCAGUUCUGCCGCCACUUUUGCCCUCACUCUUGAACCUUCCCACUGCCGCCUCCACUAUCUCCAACCACCCUGUUUACCACUCUAAAAGCUGAUCCAGCACUGACGUGGCACCUUCCUAAUAGCCCCAAAAACACGCUUUUUGCGGUAUCGGCACCAGCCGUGCCAGCUGCCUGAAAGAAUGAUUCAACUGCAGACACCCAAACCCCCUCUGGAAUCCCCUUAUUUAUUACCAUGCCUUUCAGCUCCUUCUCUGCUUCCCCAUAUCUUGCUAAUCCCAACCACGCCUUCAUGGCCAACACGCUCAAACUUGGGUGCUGGUCCCCGCCACCAUCCCUCAAAACUCUCACGCACUUGAGAACAUUAUCAAAUUCAUCCCUCUGCAAAUGAGCAGCGGCUAUGAAGCGCAGCGCUUUUGCCCUCAAAUCCUUCAGUGCUAAAGUCUCCUCUGUUGUCUUCGCAAUCCUCAACCCCUUUUCACACAACUCCAGUGCUUCAUUCAUCAAUUUCAACGCUUCAUUCACUCCAGAAACUUCAUUUUUCGACAAAAUAACUUUUCCGAACAUCAAAUACUGAGAUGCUAAUGCUUUGUAGUUCUCUGAAAUUCCAAACAGUGCAUUUUUUGACCGACUAAGUAACAUGAUGGACAAAUUCCUAUCAGAAACUUCCCAAGCAGUCCGGGACCUAGCUAGAUUUAGAUUUAACACAAGCUUGCGCUCAUCGUAAUCUGAAAUUGAACUAAUUUCAACUUUGGACACGAGAUCCGUAGCUUUUUCGAAGCAACUACUCGCGAGGUCGAAUUUGUUGAGAUCGUGCCAAACGAGACCGGUCUUGUAGAAGAAGGAGGCGCACUUGAAUGCCGGGGAAGGAAUACCGACGACGUCAGCUGCGAGGAAGAGGAGGUCAGCGGAGACUUGACGGAGCUUAGCGUGCUCUUCGGAGGAUUUGAUGCCGCUGGCGGCGAAGGCGUUGGAGAGAUCGACGCAGGCAUUCCAGAGUCGGUAGCUGAGUUUCCAGAUGCUGAGACAAACUGAGUUCGGGAAGGGCGCGAGCUGUGUCAGCUGAGUCAGGGCAGAACGGAGGUCGGAGGAGAGAGCUUCCGGUAAGAUGGUGGAAGGAGAAUGCAGUUCGAGUUGUUUAAUUGAUGACUCGAUUUGUGAAAGUGUGUGAGAGUGAGGUCCGGACUCUUGAUCGUGGCUUCGUCUGAGCUCCGGCGAGGAGAUCUCUGCUAUUCUCAUUUUUUUAGUCCAGCAAAUGAUUCGUUGAUUACUCGGGUCAAAUUUGGGAGGGAAAGAAGAAUUCAAAAUGAACCAUUUGAAUGAACAGAACUUCAUUCAUUUAUUUUGGGUUUUUGGCGGGGCGGGGCCCGGGAGGGCGGGUUUGUUGGUUAGCAGAGCACCCGCGAAUUUGGAAAAUCCCAAUUUAGGCCCAAAAAAAAAAAUAAUAAUAAUAAUAAAGCAGGUGUUUUAUCAGUAGUACUAUGAUAAUUAAUCACUGGAGUUGGACAAAGUCCUCCUUUUUUAUAAUUUUGGAUUCCAAGGUGUGGUCAAUAGGAUCUUGAAUUAUUGAAUGGGAAAAACACAAGGGGAUUCAGCAAGACCGUAAUACUACACAGUCUACACCUCCUAUUUUUGAUAGAGUAACCGGAGCCUGCCAGAAACUACCAUAAAGUUAAUGGUAAUCGAGACCCCCUUCCGAGGUUUCCAUUCAACCUAAGCCCAUUCUUCGUGAAACAGUUUCAAGAUCUGUGAUAGUGCUGCAAUCAAUAGUCGAAGCCAAAAAUUGCAAUCAAUAGUCGAAGGCUCGCCGUAGCAUAUGACAGCUUCCGACUAGUCCUUGAUAUCAUCAGCUCGAAAGCGGAGUAAAACAACACCAGAAGGACAAGACAAGGUCAUCAUCUAAGGAUUCAACCAACCUAAGAAAAGGGAAACAACCGCCAACUUCUGUAGACCUUGCUUGUGUAAGCAUCAAACCGGAACAACAAGGUGGAAAGAAAUAUACCAAAAUUGAAAAGCAAUAGACUAAUUACUGCAUACAUAUACACAAAUAAGAAAACAGUAGUGCAUAUAUUAGAGGAUUAAAGUAUCAGAUUUUACAACAGAUUAAAAUUAACCAGGUUGAGUUUUUUUUUUUUUUUUUUUCCAAUAUUAAACUUGCUCACGUGGUGCAGUACAACAGACAGAAAGGGUUAACACUAACAGUUAAA